UACGUAGGGAGCGAGCGUUGUCCGGAAUUACUGGGCGUAAAGGGCGCGUAGGUGGGCGUUUAAGUCAGAUGUGAAAACUUUGGGCUCAACCCAAAGAUUGCAUUUGAAACUAGGCGUCUUGAGGGCAGGAGAGGAAAGUGGAAUUCCUAGUGUAGCGGUGAAAUGCGUAGAUAUUAGGAGGAACACCAGUGGCGAAGGCGACUUUCUGGACUGUACCUGACACUGAGGCGCGAAAGCGUGGGUAGCGAACGGGAUUAGAUACCCCGGUAGUCCCUGAGCGGG
This 282-nucleotide ribosomal RNA is filed under the name uncultured prokaryote. RNAcentral's name for it is "partial 16S ribosomal RNA". It matches the Rfam family "Bacterial small subunit ribosomal RNA", at positions 524 to 803 of the family's 1533-position model. The record is from RNAcentral.